AGAGUUUGAUCCUGGCUCAGGACGAACGCUGGCGGCGUGCCUAAUACAUGCAAGUCGAGCGGGCUUUAUCCUUCGGGGUAAGGCUAGCGGCGGACGGGUGAGUAAUACGUAGGCAACCUGCCCUUCGGAUCGGGAUAACUACCGGAAACGGUAGCUAAAACCGGAUAGGUGAUUCGGCCGCAUGGCUGGAUCGGGAAACA
This 200-nucleotide ribosomal RNA is filed under the name uncultured bacterium. Its description in RNAcentral is "partial 16S ribosomal RNA". It matches the Rfam family "Bacterial small subunit ribosomal RNA", at positions 8 to 208 of the family's 1533-position model. The record is from RNAcentral.